RNAcentral lists this ribosomal RNA (562 nucleotides) under uncultured bacterium. Its description in RNAcentral is "partial 16S ribosomal RNA". It matches the Rfam family "Bacterial small subunit ribosomal RNA", at positions 355 to 1375 of the family's 1533-position model. The record is from RNAcentral.
UGGGGAAUAUUGGACAAUGGGCGCAAGCCUGAUCCAGCCAUGCCGCGUGAGUGAUGAAGGCCUUAGGGUUGUAAAGCUCUUUCGCCGACGAAGAUAAUGACGGUAGUCGGAGAAGAAGCCCUGGCUAACUUCGUGCCAGCAGCCGCGGUAAUACGAAGGGGGCUAGCGUUGUUCGGAAUCACUGGGCGUAAAGCGCACGUAGGCGGAUUGUUAAGUCAGGGGUGAAAGCCUGGAGCUCAACUCCAGAACUGCCCUUGAUACUGGCAAUCUCGAGUCCGGAAGAGGUAAGUGGAACUGCGAGUGUAGAGGUGAAAUUCGUAGAUAUUCGCAAGAACACCAGUGGCGAAGGCGGCUUACUGGUCCGGUACUGACGCUGAGGUGCGAAAAGCGUGGGGAGCAAAACAGGAUUAGAUACCCUGGUAGUCCACGCCGUAAACGAUGGAGGCUAGCCGUUGGCGAGCAUGCUCGUCAGUGGCGCAGCUAACGCAUUAAGCCUCCCGCCUGGGGAGUACGGUCGCAAGAUUAAAACUUAAAGGAAUUGACGGGGUCAUAGCUGUUUCCU